This 1617-nucleotide ribosomal RNA is filed under the name Triticum aestivum (bread wheat). RNAcentral's name for it is "partial small subunit ribosomal RNA". Lineage: Eukaryota; Viridiplantae; Streptophyta; Magnoliopsida; Poales; Poaceae. The record is from RNAcentral.
AUGGCCGCCGACACGUCGAAGCCGCUCUUCCCGGCGGCGCCGCACGCCUCCCUCCUCCCGUCCCACGGCAACGCCAACCGCCUCUCGCCGGAGGCCGCCUACUGGCGCAACUUCCGCUCCUCCACGCUCGACACGGGCUCCACCGCCUUCUCCGUCACCCACCUCGCCUUCUCCCCGGCGCGCGCCCGGCCCACGCUCGCCGCCGCCUGGUCCUCCGCCGUGCACCUCUUCGCCGGCGACCCGCUCGCGCCGCGGCCCAAGGUGACCGUCUGCAAGGACGCCGCCGCCUACUCGCCCUCCUUCCGCUGCGACGGCGCGCUGCUCGCCGCCGGCGACGGGCGGGGCGUCGUGCGCGUCUUCCGCGUCGACAAGCCCACCGCGGGGCCCCUCCGGACCCUCUCCGCCCACGCCGCCCAGACCCGCGUCGUCCGCUACCCCGAGGCCGGCGGCGACAAGGUCCACCUCCUCACCGCCGGGGACGACGCGCUGCUCGCCUACUGGGACGUCCCCUCCGAGACGCCCGUCUUCACCGUCCCCGCCGCGCACCGCGACUACAUCCGCGCCGGCGCGCCCUCCCCCGUCGACCACAACCUCUUCGCCACAGGCUCCUACGACCAGAGCGUCAAGCUGUGGGACGCCCGCACCGGGAAGGCCCCUGCUUUGACCUUCUCCCACGGCGCCUCGGUGGAGAGCGUGCUCUUCCUGCCGUCCGGCGGGCUGCUUGCCACGGCCGGAGGUACCACGGUGAAGAUUUGGGAUGUGAUUGGUGGUGGUCGGCUCGUGCACUCGGUGGAGAGCCAUGUCAAGACGAUUUUUGCGCUCGCGCUCGGGAAGAUGGGCGCCACCGGGGAAACCCGGCUGCUUAGCGCAGGGAGUGAUGGUUAUGUCAAGUGCUUUGAUUAUGGGGAGCUCAAGAUGACACACUCGAUGCGGUAUCCCAAGGAACUGCUGUCCGUGGCUUGCUCACCGUGUGGGACGGUGCUUGUUGCCGGGUCUUCAAAGGGAGACAUCUUUGUGCGCAGAAGGAAGAAGAAUGCAACAGAGGAGGAGGAAGAGGAGGUUGUAGGCAGCGAGUUCGCUUGGACAAUGCCCAAGCCAGAGAAGCAGGCGCUCAAACCGAGCUACUACAGAUACUUCCUCCGCGGCCAGAAUGAAAAGGCCAAGGAGGGCGACUUCGUGAUUUCAAGGCCCAAGAAGGCGAAGUUCGCAGAGCACGACAAGCUGCUGAGGAAGUUCAGGCACAAGGACGCUCUGGUUUCAGCAUUAGCCAAGAACAAUCCGAGGAGCGUCGUGGCGGUGAUGGAGGAGCUGGUCGCGAGGAGGAAGCUGGUGAGAUGCAUCGGGAAUCUGGACGUGGCCGAGCUCGGGCUUCUCCUCGACUUCCUGCAUCGCAACGCGACCCUGCCGAGGUACGCAAGGCUGUUGCUUGGGGUGGCGAACAAGGUGCUGGAGAUGCGCGCGGAGGAUAUCAUAAGCGAGGAUGGGGGGAAGCUGAGGGGGUGCAUCAGGAACCUUAAGCGGAUGGUCGUGGAGGAGAUUAAGAUACAGCACACGCUGCAGGAGAUCCAGGGGAUGAUAUCUCCCAUGCUCGCGCUUUCUGCGAGUAGAUUAGAGUGA